Non-coding RNA from Nothobranchius furzeri (turquoise killifish), 4878 nucleotides. NCBI's taxonomy places the organism in Eukaryota, Metazoa, Chordata, Actinopteri, Cyprinodontiformes, Nothobranchiidae. The record is from RefSeq and is a predicted model, not a curated record.
AAACUAAGCACACUAAUUGUCUCAAAGCAUUGGCGGUUCUAGGGGCGGGGCCACAGGGGCACUGGCCCCUGCUGAAAUAUGAUUGGCCCCUGUAGUGCCCCUGUCCUGUCACUCAUCUGUCCUUUGUGCGGUGAUGAGAUUAUAGGUGGAUGCAAUUCCGAGUCCAAACACUAGUGGCCGUGUGGCGCUAAGGAGCAAAAUAGUGUGUGAAAUCCAACAGAAGAAGAUUUGAAAGAUUCCAAGAAGGGAGAAUUUUUCAACCGACAUCGGAUCUGAUGAGAGUCCACGUUAUGAGGAGUUUGUUGGUAAGUCACGAAUCACUGUUUACUCACAGUUGCCAUGUAAGUCAAGUCUGACAAUAAGUCCAAUGGAAAGCAAUGCCGACAUUAGUUAAAGGUAAUGUUAAAAAGGGCUUGUGAAAAAACGUUAGCCCUUGCUAAUCCAUGUACUUCUUUUGUAAUCUGCAUUUCGUGUGUUAAUAGUUGGCACUGUCUGAUAGAGAACAUGAAAAGAAAGGGUCAGAUACAGGCGGGAAUUCUGCAGUUUUUUCCCAAGAGAGUGAGUGUGUCAGCUGGUGAAAACGAGCAUGGAGAAAUCAGAGAGAGAGCCGCAGGAGGCUGUAGACCAGAGGCUGGAACAGGGCAAGGGACCUCCAUUCCCCCUUUAUCAGCUGCAAACUGGGACAAGACUCUCUCCAAUUCAGACAACCAGAGUGAAGUUAAUGACUCAACCUUCCAUCCUGCUGGGCCACCAGAGUCACCAAUCAAUACUAAUCCUGCAGGAUCAAAUGACAUCUUCCAGUGUGAUGCACAGAAUCCUGCGCAGACAUCAGAACGGUGUUCUGUUCCAGUAGGACCUGGUGGUGUGCUUCUCAUUUUGUAAAGGCUCUUUAAAUUUAAUUGAAUUUUGCAGUCAGUCACUUGCAGAUUCUGAAUGCCAUGAAUGUUAAAGGUUGAGAGAUAUAAGCAACUGACUCAGACUUAUUUAAUUGACUUCCCACCAGACAUUUCCCAGUCAAGAGCAGAGGGUCCUGUGAUAUUCUUCUGGUGUUUUUUUCCACACACAAACAUAUUUUAACCUGAUAUUUGUGGCUUUGCAAAAUAAAUUGAAUGCUAAAAUUUCUCAAAUGCUGUGUGUGGUUGUAUUUUGUCAAUGUACAGUAAAAAUUGAUGUACAAUUGCAUUGAUGUUUUUCAACAUGGUGUUGGGGUAAACUGUAUCUACCAUACAAAACUGGGAAUAGUAUGCAAGUAUGUUGGACUGUUCGUGGCCCCUCUAUAAAUAUUGUGGCCCCUUGAUGGCCCCACCCUCAGAAAAAUCCUAGAUCCGCCACUGUCUCAAAGGCAAGUAGACGGAGAGAUGAACAAACACGACACGCUCUGAUGAGGAUUUUUAAAAGCACACUGAAACACGGACCGCUCUCUUUGCGUCCGUCUCUCCUCUAAAAUAUCAAAAGGAUUCAUUUUUCCAGAUGCGUCGUAGCCUCCGUUUCUCCUCUGUACGAGUGGAGGCCAGUGGUUCGCUGGACCUCCUGACCCGCGUGUCGUCUCUUCUCACGUUGUUGUUGGUGCUCUUGCUGUUAUUGUUGGUGUUGUUGUUUCGAGCGUGUGCGUAGUCCCUGCUUUUUGCUCAUGCCAGUGUCCUCCUGCUCGUACAGCACGUAGUUACGCUAAGGAUCAGACCAGCUAUGAAUUCUUAAGACACUUGCACAUAAAUCAGAUCGCCGGUGUUCAUCUCUACACAUGAAGGUUUUAUGCUUGAUAAUAAUAAGAGACCAACACUGACAAAAAGCACACGUGAGGCACAACCAGUGAUUUCAAAAAUAUAUUUCUUUACAUUUCAAGGCUUUAUAGCCCAUCCAAUCAACAUUCACACAUAGGUUUCAAACAGGCGCUCCUAAAGCGCCCUCUAGUGUUUGCUUAGUAAAAUUGCCUUUAAUCAACUUAACCUCCUUCUCGUCUUCCUCUUUUAUCACCAUUAUUUCUAAAUCUGGUGUUUAUUCUGCAAAUCUCUGUACCUUCGUAUUUAUCUAUUCCUUUUGUUUAACAGCUUCAUGAUUUCUUUGACCACGGCCCUUUGUGUCAGUGAUGUCCGAGUGAUUUAACCCUAAAAGUCAACCCCCAAAUGUCUGCAACCUUCUGUAACUACUGCAAAGCCUUGUAUGAGCUAAUAUAAAUACAUAAAAUAACAAAGAAAUCUGGUAAGCUGUAAUAAGCUGGCUUCACUCCUCCCGACGCCCCCAGUUUUCAGUGUUUUCCCUUCAUAUGAGCCAAGACGGUGGAUCAGCCACCAGUUUUCAUCCUAGUGAAAAGUCCACUUGUAUUUUUAUGCUCUUUAAAACAAAGAUAUUUGAAAGACAGAUAGUUCUAUGUGAAUAAUAAUAACUAUGAUGAUAAUCAAGAGGAAUCUAGAUGUUGAGCUGAAAUGAUCUGAGCCUGUACAUUUCUGUUGGAGUUCUGGACGUGUUGUGACGGCUGCUGUUCCACGGUCAGGUUCAGGUUGCGUUUCUGCUGUGACAAUACACUCCUGUACAGUUGUGAUCAGAAUAAAUGUAUAAAUUAAACCUCGCUUUGCCUUUUUAAUGCUUCGUGUACGGCAAUGUGCAUUUUGUCUUGGGGCUGACUGGAGAACUGUAAACUAGGACUUCCUGCUACAAAAGCACAUGUUAAAGGGGACGUGUUACGACUACAUUCUUAAAGUUAGAACAAUUUUGUGGUCUAUACAAAACAGGAAGAUGAAGAUUUUUUCACAAAACCCCUUUAAAUUAAGCAAUCUCACCAGCUCUUUUUGACAUUUUCAGCACAUUUAAGGAUACACGCUUGCUGGAUCACAGGAGGCUGGGUUUCCAGGUUGCUGGAGGACUGGAGGAGCUGAGCACGGAAUAGGGAGCAGGAUCCGGUAAGGUGAGGUCAGUAUGGAGUGGACAGCCAGGGAGCGGCUGGGAGACAGCGGGACUGGUCCGGUAGGUUGCAGCACGGUGUGAAAGGUGGUGGUGGAAAUGUAGAGAAGAGGCAGCUUACAAAAAUCAGGCAAGCUUGGAAAAACACACAGGAACUAGCAAUCUGGCUAGAAGUACGACUUGGACGAUAUCUAUUCGGAUUACUCGGUAAUCAGGCUCGGGAGCGGCAGAUACCAAAGUUGAGUUAAUCAUCCAGCGAAUAAAGAUGUCUCCCAGCAGCUUAUAUGUCCCUGGCCAACUGAUGAGCAGAUGGGCUGCAGCUGGUCCACUCCUUGACACGCCCACCUGCAGGAGAAGCUCAGAGAAGGUUUAGCAGAGAGAGGAGGACUCACCCCAGACCACGACACCAAGAUAACUUAAAGUGAUACUUUACAACUUUUUCGUGUUUUGAACUCAUUUUCUUGAGCCAGUAUGUGCCAAAUGACCCUUUACAUGGUGAAUGAAACGUCACUCAGACCCUCACCGCUCUGUGGCCAGAAUACCACACUUGCAACUUCAGAUUGCCGGUCAGGUCUGUUGGAGUUAGUAGAGCUGAUAUGCCUGGUUCUGCAGCCUUAAGGUGCUUUUCCAGGAACUCUACUCAGGGCAACUCGGAUCGAUGCAGUUCAGCCCGACCACGGUUUCCAAGGGCACGCUUUGGUAUUUUCCCUCUAUUUUCUCCCCUAUUUUUAGUCCCUGCUCCAUUGAGGUACCUGGCAAGGCUGAGUUGGGCCGGUAUCGUGAUUCUGGCCGCUGAUUGGCUAGGGGCUUCAUGGAGCUGGCGUGGGAACAAACCUGCUUUCAGAUGGGCUGACUCAAACCACGCUGUACAGAGCUGUUUUAGGCUGAGUAGUGCUCCUGGAAACCACCCUCAGUGUCUACAUGAGUGAUUCAUCACUAAAUUGAACAAAUCAGCAGCAGCAGCUCCUAGAUGUUAGUACUGGGUAUGGAAUGGAAUAUGAUUUAAAAUAUAACUCCAGCAAAAGUGUUGUUCUAACCUACAGAACCACCCAGGAUAAAAGGCUUAAUUUUCCUGUGUUUAAGUUGUCCAGCAACAGUCUGGCAGUCUGUGAGAAGAUAAAAUAUCUUGGACACUUUAUCACAGCCGAUAUGAGCGACCAUGAUGAUAUUUACAGGCAGUGCUGCAAGCUAUAUGUGCAAGCAGACACCAUUGCACGGACAUCCAGCUGUUGUUCCACACCUGUUAAAGUGGCAUUAUUUAAAGCAUACUGCACAUCUGUGGUCAUUCUAUAACAAGUCUAGCUUGCACAGGUUACAAGUGGCAUACAAUGAUGCAACGAGAAUCCUCCUCAAAAUUCCCAGGGGAGGCAGUGCUAGUCAAACGUGUGUUUCUGUGAGCGUGUGCACAUUUAAGGCACUUCUAAGAAAUUUCAUGUUCAAGUUUAUGAGACGGCUGGAAGAGUCUUCCAAUAGUAUUAUAGCUGCACUCUCAAAUCCCACUGUGAGCUGCUCUCGUUAUAUGUCUAGGCUGAGAAUGCACUGGUUAAAAUGUUUGGGUGGAUUUAUCUCAACUGGUUCGUUUUGUUGUCCCUUACCUCCACUGCAGUUAUAUCCUGUGAUUUUAUACAGGCUUUUAUUGGUAUUAAUGUUAAUUGGUAUCCUUUCUUUUCUUGUGUUUUUCUUUUAAAAAGGACUUUAAGUCUGGCAAUAAACAUAUUAUAAAUCAGCUGCGUUCCUGAUUUAAAACAUGCAGGAAAUGUGCUGAAAGCAGACUGCAGCUCCAGGUAUGUCAGCUCAAUAUUUGUUUGAGUCCCAACAGAGCCAACUGCCAGUCUGGAGUUGAAAGUAGAACAUUCUGGCCAAAGGGGUGCGAUGUGAGCUGGGUGGCUGUUCAUUAACCCUCUAAAACAGGAGUAUUCGAUUCCGGUCCUGGAGGGCCGGUAUCCAGCAUGUUUUAGUGGUUUCUCUGCUCCAAUAUGC